GUGGGGAAUCUUGCACAAUGGAGGAAACUCUGAUGCAGCGACGCCGCGUGAGUGAUGAAGCCCUUCGGGGUGUAAAGCUCUUUCGACAGGAACGAUAAUGACGGUACCUGAAGAAGAAGCUGCGGCUAACUACGUGCCAGCAGCCGCGGUAAUACGUAGGCAGCAAGCGUUGUUCGGAAUUACUGGGCGUAAAGAGUGUGUAGGCGGUGCUCUAAGUUUGGUGUGAAAUCUCCCGGCUCAACCGGGAGGCUGCAUCGAAUACUGGAAUGCUAGAGGGUGGGAGAGGUAAGCGGAAUUCCUGGUGUAGCGGUGAAAUGCGUAGAUAUCAGGAGGAACACCUGUGGUGUAGACAGCUUACUGGACCACUUCUGACGCUGAGACACGAAAGCGUGGGUAGCAAACAGGAUUAGAAACCCCAGUAGUCC
This 425-nucleotide ribosomal RNA is filed under the name uncultured bacterium. RNAcentral's name for it is "bacterial SSU rRNA". It matches the Rfam family "Bacterial small subunit ribosomal RNA", at positions 354 to 796 of the family's 1533-position model. The record is from RNAcentral.